Molecule: long non-coding RNA, 1109 nt
Filed under: Felis catus (domestic cat)
Lineage: Eukaryota; Metazoa; Chordata; Mammalia; Carnivora; Felidae
Description: lncRNA (ENSFCAG00000050679.1)
Source: RNAcentral
GCCCGCUCCGCGCGCGCCCCGGCUCGCUGGGCGGCCCGCCAGGAGGGGGGCGCGGGCCGGAGUCCUCCCUCCCUCCGGGGGCGGCAGGGCCGGGGCAGAGCCGGGGGCUGCCUUCCCUCUUUUUACCCCUCUCCCCAAAUCCUAAAAUGAGCGCUCUUCUGGGCUCCCGGAGCUCGGAGGAAGGCGUAGCUAGAGAUAGCUUGCUCCCUCUCCCUCUCCCUCUCUCUCUCUCUCUCUCUCUCUCUCUCUCCUGCCCUCCCCCCUUGGUGUUUCUUCCAGCUCAGCCUCCUUCUCAUUCCAUCUCUACGUGCCCAGAGCUUCAAAUACAACCCUCCCAUCGCAAUCAGAUGGGCACAAAACUUCAAGCAGCCGUUUCUCUGCCUGGAAGCGGUGAAAAUAUAGCCUGGAUGGGCAGACACGGAUGUAUUUGAUCCUCGCAGGGACCGCAGUUUGACCCACAGGAGACACACACACGCUCCUCCUGCCCUGGAAGGAGGGGUGGGUCAUCACCCCCAUCCACAGACCCGGGCACCAGGACUUGGGAAUUGCAGGAAGAGCACGGCGACGAGGAGGCUUCCCAGAGAGCGAAUGUUUCCAAGGCGCAGUGGCUUAGUUUUGAGCUCUCCGCUGACCCACAUCGUCGACUCUCUUAGGACCACAAGACAGAAAGGCAAGAGGCACGGACUUGGGAACAGGAACACCUACCUGGGCUUACCGCCUCGAGUCCGGCGCUGGCCAGCUGAGGCAUGUUGUACCAGCCACUUCUACCUCUUGAAGUCUCAGUUUUCUCAUCUGUCAAAUGGGCACAGCUAUGCUGCUCUCUGAGGGGCGAGUCAGAGAGCUUUUUAGCAAACCGUCAAGGUCUGUCAUGUAAGCUGUCGUCUCCUGCUUAGAUGCUUCGUAGGGGCUUCUCCUGUUUGCUCUGGCUCCUUCCUCGGCAGCCUCUUCUCCGCACAGCAGCCAGAGGGACUUUCUGGGGGGGACACAGGAUCAAUUCACGUCACAUCCUUGCUUAAAGCCUUUAAGUGGGUUCACAUGUGUGCCAGGUACCCUGAAUAAUCUGGCUCUGCCUUUAGCUGUCUCUCUCUUCAGCCCCCCCUUGGCCUCCU